UGGGGAAUAUUGCACAAUGGACGAAAGUCUGACCGAGCAACGCCGCGUGAGUGAAGAAGGUUUUCGGAUCGUAAAACUCUGUUGUUAGAGAAGAACAAGGACGUUAGUAACUGAACGUCCCCUGACGGUAUCUAACCAGAAAGCCACGGCUAACUACGUGCCAGCAGCCGCGGUAAUACGUAGGUGGCAAGCGUUGUCCGGAUUUAUUGGGCGUAAAGCGAGCGCAGGCGGUUUCUUAAGUCUGAUGUGAAAGCCCCCGGCUCAACCGGGGAGGGUCAUUGGAAACUGGGAGACUUGAGUGCAGAAGAGGAGAGUGGAAUUCCAUGUGUAGCGGUGAAAUGCGUAGAUAUAUGGAGGAACACCAGUGGCGAAGGCGGCUCUCUGGUCUGUAACUGACGCAGAGGCUCGAAAGCGUGGGGAGCAAACAGG
Molecule: ribosomal RNA, 429 nt
Filed under: Chloroflexota bacterium
Lineage: Bacteria; Bacillati; Chloroflexota
Description: Chloroflexi bacterium partial 16S ribosomal RNA
Rfam family: Bacterial small subunit ribosomal RNA
Source: RNAcentral